UGGAGCUGAAAUCAGUCGAAGAUACCAGCUGGCUGCAACUGUUUAUUAAAAACACAGCACUGUGCAAACACGAAAGUGGACGUAUACGGUGUGACGCCUGCCCGGUGCCGGAAGGUUAAUUGAUGGGGUUAUCCUCGCGGAGAAGCUCUUGAUCGAAGCCCCGGUAAACGGCGGCCGUAACUAUAACGGUCCUAAGGUAGCGAAAUUCCUUGUCGGGUAAGUUCCGACCUGCACGAAUGGCGUAAUGAUGGCCAGGCUGUCUCCACCCGAGACUCAGUGAAAUUGAACUCGCUGUGAAGAUGCAGUGUACCCGCGGCAAGACGGAAAGACCCCGUGAACCUUUACUAUAGCUUGACACUGAACACUGGUCCUUGAUGUGUAGGAUAGGUGGGAGGCUUUGAAGUGUGGACGCCAGUCUGCAUGGAGCCAUCCUUGAAAUACCACCCUUUAAUGGCUGGUGUUCUAACGUGGGCCCGUAAUCCGGGUUGCGGACAGUGUCUGGUGGGUAGUUUGACUGGGGCGGUCUCCUCCUAAAGAGUAACGGAGGAGCACGAAGGUCAGCUAAUCCUGGUCGGACAUCAGGAGGUUAGUGCAAUGGCAUAAGCUGGCUUGACUGCGAGCGUGACGGCGCGAGCAGGUGCGAAAGCAGGUCAUAGUGAUCCGGUGGUUCUGAAUGGAAGGGCCAUCGCUCAACGGAUAAAAGGUACUCCGGGGAUAACAGGCUGAUACCGCCCAAGAGUUCAUAUCGACGGCGGUGUUUGGCACCUCGAUGUCGGCUCAUCACAUCCUGGGGCUGAAGUAGGUCCCAAGGGUAUGGCUGUUCGCCAUUUAAAGUGGUACGCGAGCUGGGUUUAGAACGUCGUGAGACAGUUCGGUCCCUAUCUGCCGUGGGCGCUGGAGAAUUGAGGGGGGCUGCUCCUAGUACGAGAGGACCGGAGUGGACGCAUCACUGGUGUUCGGGUUGUCAUGCCAAUGGCAUUGCCCGGUAGCUAAAUGCGGAAGAGAUAAGUGCUGAAAGCAUCUAAGCACGAAACUUGCCCCGAGAUGAGUUCUCCCUGACCCUUUAAGGGUCCUGAAGGAACGUUGAAGACGACGACGUUGAUAGGCCGGGUGUGUAAGCGCAGCGAUGCGUUGAGCUAACCGGUACUAAUGAACCGUGAGGCUUAACCUUACAACGCCGAAG
Molecule: ribosomal RNA, 1183 nt
Filed under: Klebsiella michiganensis
Lineage: Bacteria; Pseudomonadati; Pseudomonadota; Gammaproteobacteria; Enterobacterales; Enterobacteriaceae
Also listed under: 1 other name
Description: bacterial LSU rRNA
Rfam family: Bacterial large subunit ribosomal RNA
Source: RNAcentral